AUUGAACGCUGGCGGCAGGCCUAACACAUGCAAGUCGAGCGGAUGAAGGGAGCUUGCUCCUGGAUUCAGCGGCGGACGGGUGAGUAAUGCCUAGGAAUCUGCCUGGUCGUGGGGGAUAACGUCCGGAAACGGGCGCUAAUACCGCAUACGUCCUGUGGGAGAAAGUGGGGGAUCUUCGGACCUCACGCUAUCAGAUGAGCCUAGGUCGGUUUAGCUAGUUGGUGGGGUAAAGGCCUACCAAGGCGACGAUCCGUAACUGGUCUGAGAGGAUGAUCAGUCACACUGGAAAUGAGACACGGUCCAGACUCGGACGGGAGGCAGCAGUGGGGAUAUUGGACAAUGGGCGAAAGCCUGAUCCAGCCAAGCCGCGUGUGUGAAGAAGGUCUUCGGAUUGUAAAGCACUUUAAGUUGGGAGGAAGGGCAGUAAGUUAAUACCUUGCUGUUUUGACGUUACCAACAGAAUAAGCACCGGCUAACUUCGUG
Molecule: ribosomal RNA, 483 nt
Filed under: uncultured bacterium
Lineage: Bacteria
Description: partial 16S ribosomal RNA
Rfam family: Bacterial small subunit ribosomal RNA
Source: RNAcentral